This 64-nucleotide transfer RNA is filed under the name Prosthiostomum siphunculus. RNAcentral's name for it is "tRNA-Gly". Lineage: Eukaryota; Metazoa; Platyhelminthes; Polycladida; Prosthiostomidae. The record is from RNAcentral.
UUCUUUUAAGUUCUAUGAAUAACUGCCUUCCAAGCAGUAGGACCUGAAAUAUCAGGAAAAGAAA